CGUGCGACGCCGCGUGUGGGAUGAAGGCCCUUGGGUUGUAAACCACUGUCAGGGGGAAGGAAUAAGGCUGGCGACACCAGCUGAUGACUUAUACCCCAGAGGAAGUGACGGCUAACUACGUGCCAGCAGCUGCGGUAAUACGUAGGUCACGAACGUUAUUCGGAAUCACUGGGCUUAAAGGGCGCGUAGGCGGCUUAAUAAGUUACGACUGAAAUCCGGCGGCUCACCCGUCGAACUGGCCGUAAUACUGUUGAGCUGGAGGUACGGAGGGAUGCGUGGAACUUGUGGUGGAGCGGUGAAAUGCCCAGAUAUCACAGGGAACACCGGUGGCGAAGGCGACGCAUUGGCCGCAAUCUGACGCUGAGGCGCGAAAGCAUGGGGAGCGAACGGGAUUAGAUACCCCGGUAGUCCAUGCCGUAAACGAUGUGCACUAGGGAGAGGGCGGGUCCUAACUCGCUCCCUCCCCAAGCAAAAGCGUUAAGUGCACCGCCUGGGGAGUAUGCUCGCAA
This 509-nucleotide ribosomal RNA is filed under the name uncultured Planctomycetota bacterium. RNAcentral's name for it is "bacterial SSU rRNA". It matches the Rfam family "Bacterial small subunit ribosomal RNA", at positions 388 to 891 of the family's 1533-position model. The record is from RNAcentral. Lineage: Bacteria; Pseudomonadati; Planctomycetota.